UACGAAGGGGGCUAGCGUUGUUCGGAAUCACUGGGCGUAAAGGGCGCGUAGGCGGCCUGGCAAGUCGGGGGUGAAAGCCUGUGGCUCAACCACAGAAUGGCCUUCGAUACUGUCGGGCUCGAGACCGGAAGAGGUCAGUGGAACUGCGAGUGUAGAGGUGAAAUUCGUAGAUAUUCGCAAGAACACCAGUGGCGAAGGCGGCUCACUGGCCCGAUACUGACGCUGAGGCACGAAAGCGUGGGGAGCAAACAGG
This 253-nucleotide ribosomal RNA is filed under the name uncultured bacterium. RNAcentral's name for it is "partial 16S ribosomal RNA". It matches the Rfam family "Bacterial small subunit ribosomal RNA", at positions 524 to 776 of the family's 1533-position model. The record is from RNAcentral.